RNAcentral lists this ribosomal RNA (273 nucleotides) under uncultured bacterium. RNAcentral's name for it is "partial 16S ribosomal RNA". It matches the Rfam family "Bacterial small subunit ribosomal RNA", at positions 524 to 796 of the family's 1533-position model. The record is from RNAcentral.
UACGAAGGGUGCAAGCGUUAAUCGGAAUUACUGGGCGUAAAGCGCGCGUAGGUGGUUCGUUAAGUUGGAUGUGAAAGCCCCGGGCUCAACCUGGGAACUGCAUCCAAAACUGGCGAGCUAGAGUAUGGCAGAGGGUGGUGGAAUUUCCUGUGUAGCGGUGAAAUGCGUAGAUAUAGGAAGGAACACCAGUGGCGAAGGCGACCACCUGGGCUAAUACUGACACUGAGGUGCGAAAGCGUGGCCAGAAAACCGCAUUAGAUGGCCAGGUAGUCC